CACAUACUCCCUCCGUCCGGAAAUACUUGUCAGAGAAAUGGAUAAAAAUGAUAUAUCUAGAAUUAAAAUAUGUCUAGAUACAUCUAUUUCUCUAACAAGUAUUUUCGGACGGAGGGAGUAUAUA
This is a non-coding RNA of Triticum aestivum (bread wheat), 124 nucleotides long. The record is from Rfam. NCBI's taxonomy places the organism in Eukaryota, Viridiplantae, Streptophyta, Magnoliopsida, Poales, Poaceae.